Molecule: microRNA, 24 nt
Filed under: Danio rerio (zebrafish)
Lineage: Eukaryota; Metazoa; Chordata; Actinopteri; Cypriniformes; Danionidae
Description: dre-miR-2193
Source: miRBase by way of RNAcentral
UAUGUGUGUAUCAAUUGUGUGAAA